ACAGAGGGGGCAAGCGUUGUUCGGAAUUACUGGGCGUAAAGGGCGCGUAGGCGGCGUGCUAAGUCGAACGUGAAAUCCCCGGGCUCAACCCGGGAACUUCGUCCGAGACUGGCAUGCUUGAAUCCGGGAGAGGGAUGUGGAAUUCCAGGUGUAGCGGUGAAAUGCGUAGAUAUCAGGAGGAACACCUGUGGUGUAGACAGCUUACUGGACCAUGACUGACGCUGAGGCACGAAAGCGUGGGGAGCAAACAGGA
RNAcentral lists this ribosomal RNA (253 nucleotides) under uncultured prokaryote. Its description in RNAcentral is "partial 16S ribosomal RNA". It matches the Rfam family "Bacterial small subunit ribosomal RNA", at positions 525 to 777 of the family's 1533-position model. The record is from RNAcentral.